GUAUAUUUAAAGCCACUGACUUUAAGGAAGUAUCUGUUUUUAUCAAUUUACUAUUUGAUAUGUUCUUUAAAUGAGAGUGUUUUGUUAAGCAGGUUUUUAGAAUAGUGAGCUGAAAUAGGGGUUUGCUCUUUCUACUCCAUGCAUCAACCAGGUAUUGUAGUAUCUUCAGAAACAGUGUCUUUAUU
This is a small nuclear RNA of Neoarius graeffei (lesser salmon catfish), 185 nucleotides long. RefSeq annotates it as U2 spliceosomal RNA. The record is from RefSeq and is a predicted model, not a curated record. NCBI's taxonomy places the organism in Eukaryota, Metazoa, Chordata, Actinopteri, Siluriformes, Ariidae. The transcript has a single exon.